CAAGCUCGCGAGAGUAAGCUAAUCUCUUAAAGCCGCUCUCAGUUCGGACUGUAGGCUGCAACUCGCCUACACGAAGUCGGAAUCGCUAGUAAUCGCGGAUCAGCAUGCCGCGGUGAAUACGUUCCCGGGCCUUGUACACACCGCCCGUCACACCAUGGGAGUUGGCAACACCCGAAGUCGGUAGUCUAACCGCAAGGAGGACGCCGCCGAAGGUGGGGUUGAUGAUUAGGGUUAAGUCGUAACAAGGUACC
This 251-nucleotide ribosomal RNA is filed under the name uncultured bacterium. RNAcentral's name for it is "partial 16S ribosomal RNA". It matches the Rfam family "Bacterial small subunit ribosomal RNA", at positions 1250 to 1500 of the family's 1533-position model. The record is from RNAcentral.